Molecule: ribosomal RNA, 266 nt
Filed under: Lecidea floridensis
Lineage: Eukaryota; Fungi; Ascomycota; Lecanoromycetes; Lecideales; Lecideaceae
Description: partial small subunit ribosomal RNA
Rfam family: Bacterial small subunit ribosomal RNA
Source: RNAcentral
UUAUCGAAUAAAAUUCUGGGUGGAAUUAUGAUAAUGACAUUCUGCCUAUACUUGACCAAACUACGUGCCAGCAGUCGCGGUAAUACGUUACAGAUAAGUGUUAUUCAUCUUUAUUGGGUUUAAAGGGUACCUAGACGGUAAAUUAAGCCGUACUAAUUUACUAGAGUUUAAUGUGAUGGGGAUGUACUGCAGGUGGAGAAAUGAAAUUCUAUUAUACUGGCACAGCCAGAGGCGAAAGCAUCUCUUUAUGUAUUAACUGACGUUGA